Molecule: ribosomal RNA, 706 nt
Filed under: uncultured bacterium
Lineage: Bacteria
Description: bacterial SSU rRNA
Rfam family: Bacterial small subunit ribosomal RNA
Source: RNAcentral
GGACAACCCGCCGAAAGGCGGGCUAAACCCGCGUACAUGCCACCGGGGCAUCCCGGAGGCAGGAAAGGCUUCGGCCGGACAGGGAUGGGCAUGCGGCGCAUUAGGCAGUAGGCGGGGUAACGGCCCACCUAACCGACGAUGCGUAGGGGUUCUGAGAGGAAGGUCCCCCACACUGGUACUGAGACACGGACCAGACUCCUACGGGAGGCAGCAGUGAGGAAUAUUGGUCAAUGGUCGGGAGACUGAACCAGCCAAGCCGCGUGAGGGAGGAAGGUACAGAGUAUCGUAAACCUCUUUUGUCAGGGAACAAAGACUGGGACGCGUCCCCGGAUGAGUGUACCUGAAGAAAAAGCAUCGGCUAACUCCGUGCCAGCAGCCGCGGUAAUACGGAGGAUGCGAGCGUUAUCCGGAUUUAUUGGGUUUAAAGGGUGCGCAGGCGGUCUGUUAAGUCAGCGGUCAAAGCCCGGGGCUCAACCCCGGCCCGCCGUUGAAACUGGCAGUCUCGAGUUGGAGAGAAGUAUGCGGAAUGCGCGGUGUAGCGGUGAAAUGCAUAGAUAUCGCGCAGAACUCCGAUUGCGAAGGCAGCAUGCCGGCUCCACACUGACGCUGAGGCACGAAAGCGUGGGUAUCGAACAGGAUUAGAUACCCUGGUAGUCCACGCAGUAAACGAUGAAUGCUGGCUGUCCGGGGGGACUGACCCCUGGGU